Molecule: long non-coding RNA, 7869 nt
Filed under: Lactuca sativa (garden lettuce)
Lineage: Eukaryota; Viridiplantae; Streptophyta; Magnoliopsida; Asterales; Asteraceae
Description: long non-coding RNA (LSAT_LNC005116)
Source: RNAcentral
UUAGAAGAGGUAUGCCGUAAUCUAAGCUAUAUCAUAUUUGAAAGGUAGGUGAAUGACGAUUCACCAAUUUCCACCACGAAAACCGCAAUAUUUUAGUAUUAGGUUUUUGAAUGGUUCUUAGAAAUUCCUAGAUUCUUUGAGAUUCAAUGAACUUUUCAAAGGCAUGUUUCAAUCUCGAGUGUGCCCUCCAAGUUUUGUGACUGGGAUACCGAGGAUCACAAAACGAGGUGUGAAGUAACCAUGCAAAUCACUUGGUACCCUUAAAGUUUAUCACUCAAUCGAUGUGCCGGUUAACCACACACGCUCCAUCGAUACUAUAAUAAACCCUAAGUCACCCUUUACCUACCUUGUUAAGUCCAAGUUAGUGUGCCGGUUAACCACACACGCUCCACCAACGACUUAAUCAAAGUGUAAAGUGUAAUUUCAUGGAAUAGCACCUUAUUCACAUUUUUCCUAAAGUAACUAAGAUUGGGAAUUUAAUAAAACAUUUAGUUACUUUAUAAUAUUCAUCAUACUUUGAAUGAGAAUUAAUAAGUCCUUGUCUUACCCGUUCGGCUAACGACCCUCCACCGAUCAAGCAAGCGGUGGGUGAGAGUGGACACCCAUUAAGUCACCAUUUUAUAGGCAACAACCUUAUACCCACCUUAUAGACCGGCUUCGUGAAUGAGGCGUACUAGCGGUAAGACGACUUUGUUCUUAUACAUAUAUAUAUAAUUAUUAAAUCAUAAUAAUAUAAGUAUAAGGGUUGAAUUUUAACUUUUAAAAUUCUAGGGGUUGGAACUAAAGUUUUAACUUAACUUUACUUGUUCCAAAACUUGAGGGCAAGUUUUGUAAACUUUCAAAACUUUUCAUUUCUUGUAACUUAUGAGUUUAAUAGAGUAAUAAAAUGAGGACUUUUCAUUUUUCCUAACUCUUGUGUUCUUUUAAUGGUUUUUAAUCCAAGAGACUUUUGGUUUUCCAUAACUUGAGGACAAGUUAUGGACUCCAUUAAAACACAUUAUGAUCAUGAAUUAAUCUACCACAUAGGUUACAAAUAAUUCCUAUGAUCAUCUAAACAUCAUAAGAACAAGAAUAUGAAUAUGAACACUUUCAAGAAUCAAAAUCACAUUUAAUCUUUGUAAUUUUGAUAACUAGUUGUUGUAAAUGAGUUAGAAAAGACAUUACACCUUCUAAAAUAAGUUUUCAAGUACCAAAACAUUUUAGGGUAAUGAUUCUAAUCCAUUUCCAGCAACUCAAGUCGAAAUUCUGCACUCUGUCGACCCUACUCGCCGAGUGCAUAAACCUACUCGCCGAGUAGGUUGAAGAUACACAUGAACUCGACGAGUCCUCCCCAUGGACUCGCCGAGUCCAUCAGUCAGACAGCAGAAUUUUCGACUUUCUUCAACUUUUAAGCACAAAUAACAAACAAACAAGCCUAGGCUCUGAUACCACUGAUGGGUUUUGAGCAUUCUAACACUUCCUAAGUGUACAUGCAACCCUAAUAACCUUGGAUCUAUGUUUGUCUAAUUAUCAUGCAAAGUUGAAUUCCAAGGUUAUAUUCCUAUCUAGCAUACAUGGGGAACAAUUUUAACUUGAAUCAUAGAUAGAAUAACUUACCUUGUUGUUGCUUGUGUUCCUUGAAACCUUGUGAGCCUAGCACCCCAAGUGUGAUGCCUCAAAUGCUUCACACAACACCAAAUGCUCUUGGAAAGACUCUUGAGAUAACACACACUUCUCAAAAUCGGCCAAGCCCUCUAGUUUCUUAGUGUUCAACUUGUGUAGCCAAUUUUGUGGAGAAUGGGACUCUUAUAUAGUGUUGGCACAUCUAGGGUUACACCAUGUAAACCCUAAUGUGUCAUGACUCUUCAUUUCCAUGACCCAUGGGUUUGUAACUCCCAUGGAGCAUCCAUGGAGCAUCCUAUGGGUAGAACCCAACUUGAUAAUCCAUGGAGCCUCUUAGCCCACUAUACAAGAUAUGGAUGAUUUACAUAAUCAACCCAUAUAUUUAAUUAGUUAUCCUUUGAUCACUUAAUUAAUUCCAAAUUAAUUCUUUGAUCAACUAAUCAAAUAAUAUUAUUAAUAUAUUAGAACUUAUAAUAUAUUAAUAAUCUCCAAGUGUUAUUUCUCUCAUUUAGUCUAUCCAAUUGCAUGGUGCCAUGCAACCCAAAUGGACCAUGCCGGGUCGGGUCAAGUACAAGCCCGAAAUAGUUAUGGACUUAGACACCUUAUCCAACAGUCUCCCACUUGGAUAAGUCUAAUAACUAUAUCUCUAGUACUUCAGGAACCGACCGGCAAUCGUAGCUCUUUCAAGGUCUCUCGGAACUGAGAAGAUGAUGGUACGCCAUUUAAGAUAAGUGAUCAUAUAAUCCUCCGUUCUAGAUAUCAGCCGGACAAAUACAUGGAACAUUGUCUUGCUUAUUGUCCAGCAUUUGUUUCCCGAUUUCCGAUUUGUUUGACAUAGAACUUAAUUGAACACAUCAACUUAGUUCUGACCGGGCCCGGUACAUGGGUCAAAACAAAAUCAUCGAGGGGCCCAGAUAUCAGCUUCUAAUCCAAGAAGGAACAGAUAAACUUCGACUCAUAUGUUUGUUCUACCACUCAUUGAAUUACACACAAAAGUACGUUUUAUAACAUCGAGUUACCAAUGCGGUUUCGUACAGUCAAUGCAUAACCAACUUGUAAGUAACAAAUCAUAUCUCUAGGUUUGAAGACUUAUAUGAUAUUACCGUCUCACGAUCACUCGAGAUAGAAUUCCAUGAAGUGAUUCCAGUGAGCGUGGGUUGAGUCCAAUGCUCAGAACUUAUGAGCACUCAUGAUUGUUGUAGCCUUGUCCAAGACCUCUACAACCAAACAUGACAGUCUUGAUUCAUAUCUACUUCCAACAUAUGACCGACUGUGGAGGUUUGAAUAAUAUGUUAUACCAAACAAAAUUAUUCUGGAAGUCAAAACAUGCAAAAGAAAUAUAGUAAACGAUCGACAAGAGAUAGCAACACUUUACUCAUAAAUAAAACACCUUUUAUUCAUCAUCAAAUGUCAAUUACACUUUACAAAUUUCUGGGUUAUCUAACUACUAAAACUUAUAUCAUCCUUCAGCCCUAUGCUCCGAGCAUGCUGGAGAUGCUUAACCCUACUCAGUCCCUUCGUGAGGGGAUCUGCUGGGUUCUCAUCCGAUGAUACCCUCUUUGCCACGAGGAGUCCUUCUUCGAUCCGAUGUCUAAUGAAAUGGUAUUUUCUGUCGAUGUGUCUGGAUCUCCCAUGAUCCCUUGGUUCCUUGGCUAAGGCAACAGCACUUUCACUAUCACAGAAAAUUUCCAUUGGCUCUUUAAUAGCUGGUACAACUCCAAGGUCUCCAAUGAAGUUCUUCAGCCAUAUCGCCUCCUUUGCUGCUUCACUAGCUGCAAUAUACUCUGAUUCACAAGUAGAAUCUGCCACUGUCUCUUGCUUGGAACUCUUCCAAGAAAUUGCUCCUCCGUUUAGGGUAAAGACCCAGCCCGACUGAGAGCGGAAAUUAUCCCUAUCAGUCUGGAAGCUAGCAUCACUAUACCCUACAACUCUCAAGUCAUCACUCCCACCGAGGGUAAGGACCCAGUCCUUAGUCCUCCGUAGGUACUUGAGGAUAUUCUUUACCGCAGUCCAGUGUGCCUUGCCAGGGUUCGCCUGAUACCUGCUAACCAUGCUCAAGGCAAAAGCUACAUCGGGUCGAGUACACGUCAUAGCAUACAUGAUCGAUCCUACAGCCGAAGCGUAAGGUGUUCGACUCAUUUCUGCUAUCUCAGCCUCAGUGCUAGGGCUUUGUGUCUUACUCAAUCUGGUGUUACUCUGGAUGGGUAACUCUCCUUUCUUGGAAUCCUGCAUGCUGAAUCUCUUCAGCACCUUAUCCAAGUAGGUACUCUGACUAAGUCCAAUUAGUCUUUUACUCCGAUCUCUCAAGAUUCUUAUCCCUAGAAUAUAGGCAGCUUCACCAAGGUCCUUCAUAGCGAAACACUUCCCAAGCCAGGACUUUACUUCCUGCAGGGUUGGAAUGUCGUUUCCUAUGAGUAGUAUGUCAUCCACAUACAAUACCAAAAAGCUAACUAUACUCCCACUAGCCUUGACAUACACACAAGAUUCAUCUUCACUCCUAGAAAAGCCAAAUUCCUUGACCUUUUCAUCAAAGCAAAGAUUCCAUCUGCGAGGUGCUUGCUUCAAUCCAUAAAUGGAUUUCUCAAGCUUACACACUCUAUUAGGGUACUCGUUGCUGACAAAACCCUCUGGCUGACUCAUGUAAACAUCUUCAGCCAACUUUCCAUUAAGGAAAGCGGUUUUGACAUCCAUCUGCCAUAUUUCAUAGUCAUGAAAUGCAGCUAUGGCUAACAGAACCCGAAUAGACUUAAUCUUGGCUACCGGAGAAAAGGUCUCAUCAUAAUCCACUCCAGGAAUUUGAGAGAAGCCCUUUGCAACCAGUCUAGCCUUAUAAGUGUGUACUUUACCAUCCAUGUCGGUCUUCUUCUUGAAGACCCAUUUGCACCCUACUGUCUUACGACCUGGUACAUUUUCAACCAAGUUCCAAACUUGAUUGUCAUACAUGGAUUGUAUCUCGCUAUCCAUAGCCUCUUUCCAUUUAGCAGACUCGGGGCCUGCCAUGGCUUCCUCGUAGCUGUUAGGGUCAUCUUGACUUACUAGUGUCUCAUCACUAAUAAGUGUCUCACCUUCUGCAGUAAUAUGGAAUCCAUAGUAAUGCUCAGGUGCACUCCUAACUCUCGUGGAACGUCUCAGAGGUACAGAUUUGUCAAUUGGCUCAACAGGAGUUUCCUCCUCAAGUUGAGGGCUAGAGUUUGAAGUUCCUUCACCGCUUGAUUCUUGAAUUUCUUCAAGAUCAAUUUGCCUCCCACUGUCUCCUUGGCUUAUAAACUCUCUUUCUCGAAAGACUCCUCUUCUUGCUACAAAGACCACAUUGUCACUAGGUCUGUAGAAGAGGUAACCAAAGGAUCGCUGUGGGUAACCGAUGAAAAUACACCUCUCGCUUCGAGGUUCGAGCUUAUCAUGAGUCUCGCGUCUCACGAAAGCCUCGCAACCCCAAAUCUUGAUGUGGUCUAGUUUAGGUACUUUACCAGUCCACAUCUCGUGAGGAGUUUUGGCAACUUUCUUUGUAGGGACUAGAUUAAGAAUAUGGGCGGCAGUCUCUAAGGCAUACCCCCAGAAUGAGAUUGGUAGCGUAGCUCGACUCAUCAUGGAACGAACCAUAUCUAACAAGGUUCGAUUACGCCUCUCAGCCACACCAUUCAACUGUGGUGUCCUGGGAGGUGUCAAUUGUGAGACUAUCCCACAUUCCCUUAGAUAGUCGAGGAACUCUGAACUAAGAUACUCACCACCACGAUCGGAUCGAAGCAUCUUAAUGUUCCUGCCCAAUUGAUUCUCGACUUCCUGUUUAAAUUCCUUAAACCUCUCGAAAGUCUCUGACUUAUGCUUGAUCAAGUAGACAUAUCCAUAUCUACUAUAAUCAUCAGUAAAAGUCAAAUAAUAACGAUUAGCAUCCCUUGUGGCAUGUUUGAAUGGUCCACACACAUCCGUGUGUAUAAGGUCCAACAAACCUUCACCCCUCUCACACGAACCUGUGAAGGGUGACUUUGUCAUUUUUCCAAGUAAGCAUGAUUCGCAACUAUCAUCUGACUUUAGGUCAAACGACUCCAAGACUCCAUCCUUUUGGAGUUGGCCUAUGCGUUUCUUGCUUAUAUGUCCAAGACGACAAUGCCAUAAAGAUGCUUUAUCCAAGUUAUUAUUAGUAGAAUCAAUACACAAAACAUUAUUUCCCAAGUUAUCUACAACAGAUACAGCUUCAUACACACCAUCACAAGGUAAUGCUUUAAAAUAAAAGACAUUAUUAUAGAAAACAUCUAUAGAACCAACUUCAUUAUUAAAUGAAAAGGUAAACCCUUGUUUGUACAAAGCAUGAAAGGAAAUAAUAUUUCUUGCCAUUCCUGGCGAAUAACAACACUUAUUCAAAUCUAAACUAAACCCACUACUUAGCGAUAAAGUAUAAACUCCAAUCUUGGUAACAGGUAUAGCUUUCCUAUUCCCCAUGAUCAAGUUUAUCCUUCCUUGCUCCACAUCCUCACUUCUUCUUAGUCCCUGCAAGUCACAACAAAUGUGAAUACCACACCCGGUAUCAAGGACCCAAGAAUUAGAAUGGGGUGAGUUAUUAGAAAUGAUAGUGUAAAUACCUGCAUGGUUGGGUUUAACUUUCCCAUCCUUCACAUCUUGCUGGUAUUUUGGGCAGUUCCGCUUCCAAUGAGCUUUUUCAUGGCAAUAGAAGCAUUCAGCCUCUUUUGGGUCAGAAGAAGGAGUAACGAAACCUUUCUUGGUUCCACUUGAAGAAGAGCCAUCAAGGGUCCGAGCCUUGGUACCCUUAGAAGAGCUCUUUCUCUUCCUCCCUCGACUUUUCCCGAUUGCCAAAACCGGAGUAGAGUUUUGAGUAGGAGUGAUAGCAACCGACUUCCCCUUAAGACCUGUUUCUGCGGUCUUGAGAAGUCCCUGAAGUUUGCUGAGGGUGACUUCUUCCUUGUUCAUGUGAUAUGUCAUGCGGAAUUGAUCAUAGCACGAUGGUAAGGAAUGCAAAAUAAUAUCUAUUGCAAGAUCCUCCGGGAAGUUCACAUUAAGCUUCAGCAAACGAUCCACAUACCUUUGCAUUUUCUGCAUGUGGCUCGUGACGGAUUCCCCGUCCUUCAUCAUGGUUGUUAUCAUGGAGCAGAUGAUUUCAUACCUCUCUUGUCUUGCACUUUGAUGGUAUCUUUCCAUCAAAUCUUGGUGCAUGUCAUAAGGGUAGAAAUCCUCAUAAGACUUUUGGAGUUCCGCUGUCAUCGUGGCCAUCAUGAUGCAAGCCACUUUCGUAGCAUCCCUUUCAUGUGCCCGAAAUUCAGCGAUCUCCUGAGGAGUUGCAGUGGACUCAUCAAUCUCCUUAAGCUCCUUGUCAAGGACAUAUUCUUUGUCCUCGUAGCGGGUAAUCAUCCUGAUGUUUCUGAUCCACUCAUUGAAGUUGGAUCCAUCAAAGGUGACUUUCCCACACAAGUUCAUAAGGGUAAAGGAGCCAUUAGGAUUAGAGCCAGAAGCAUUGUUGAAAGACAUCUGAAGGAAAGAGGACAAGAUUAGUUUAGAUAUAAGAGAGUCCUUAAUAAAACACCCAAAUGUAAUAUUAAGGCUAGGAUCCAAUCACAAUAUAAUAUAACUUAGAAGAGGUAUGCCGUAAUCUAAGCUAUAUCAUAUUUGAAAGGUAGGUGAAUGACGAUUCACCAAUUUCCACCACGAAAACCGCAAUAUUUUAGUAUUAGGUUUUUGAAUGGUUCUUAGAAAUUCCUAGAUUCUUUGAGAUUCAAUGAACUUUUCAAAGGCAUGUUUCAAUCUCGAGUGUGCCCUCCAAGUUUGUGACUGGGAUGCCGAGGAUCACAAAACGAGGUGUGUUGUAACCAUGCAAAUCACUUGGUAACCUUUCAAGUUUAUCACUCAAUCGAUGUGCCGGUAAACCACACACGCUCCAUCGAUACUAUAAUAAACCUUUAAGUCACCCUUUACCUACCUUGUUAAGUCCAAGUUAGUGUGCCGGUUAACCACACACGCUCCACCAACGACUUAAACAAAGUGUAAAGUGUAAUUUCAUGGAUUAGCACCUUAUUCACAUUUUUCCUAAAGUAACUAAGAUUGGGAAUUUAAUAAAACAUUUAGUUACUUUAUAAUAUUCAUCAUACUUUGAAUGAGAAUUUAUAAGUCCUUGUCUUACCCGUUCGGCUAACGACCCUCCACCAGUCAAGCAAGCGGUGGGUGAGAGUGGACACCCAUUAAGUCACCAUUUUAUAGGCAACAACCUUAUACCCACCUUAUAGACCGGCUUCGUGAAUGAGGCGUACUAGCGGUAAGACG